Molecule: RNA transcript, 4613 nt
Organism: Triplophysa rosa
Lineage: Eukaryota; Metazoa; Chordata; Actinopteri; Cypriniformes; Nemacheilidae
Gene name: zinc finger protein 585A-like
Exons: 5
Source: RefSeq, a predicted model, not a curated record
CGGAAGUAGUAGACCGUCCGUGAAUCUUUGGAAUACUAUUUUCAACAUUCUACGAUUUGGGACAUACUGAUUCUACUUUCGAAUACUAUUAGGACGGAUAGUAUGCUGAUUGAACGCAGGGAACGUGAAAAACCGCCUGAUUAGAAUCAGUUGGAGGAGUGGGCGUUAAUGAAAAAAACAAUCCAUAAAGCCACGCAGGUGUAAUAUAAUCGUCCGCGACAGUGCUGUCAGACCCAGGCUAUAGACGUCAUAGUUUGUAUGUGACGUCAUGCACUAGGUGUACGCCCCGAUGGAAGGCAAGACGAGACGACACGACACGACGCUCUCUGUCUGCCAGAUUACAAAAAUUGUUUUUUUUUCGUUGCGCCUAAAUACUAAAUAAAUGUUGUGCAAUAAAAUUCACCAACCGACGAGGACAUGCCUGAGCGUUGCUUCUACAAAAUCCCUAGAAGGAAAACCGAGACAGGAGGAAUUUGUGGAUUUUGUGUCAUAAACGUGCCUCGGUUCACAGGAAGGGGAAACAAUGGCAGCGACCAUAGUACACUCGUAUUUGCAGUAAACACGUCAUCAAAGGUCUGUUCCAACAUACCACACAGAGGUAUUCAAUAAAUACCAGAAUAAUUCCUAUAAUCCUGCAAGUGAAGGGGCCACUUCAUUCAAACGUGCUAAUAAAGCAAAUCCAGUGUGACACAGUCUUGUGAACAAUUGAAGACAUGAGUGAUCCAGACACAUGCAGAAUUAAAUAUGAAGAUACUGAGGAACAAAGAGAUUUGUUAAAAGAUGAAGGCGAUGAACUGAAUGAAGAUGAGGAGAAACAUCAGUGUAAGAAACCUCAGAAUUUUCUUAUACUAGAAAUCUCUUCUAGUAGUUUGCAGAAGAACAAGAAGCAAAGGACAGAAGCAGGCAAGUCUUUCACCUGCCCUCAGUGUGAAAAGAGUUACAAACGAAAACAUUAUCUUGAGGAGCACAUGAGAAUUCACACUGGAGAACGACCAUACUCAUGUUCUCAGUGUGGAAAGAGUUUCAAUCGCAAAACAACUCUUGAUGUGCACAUGAGAAUUCACGCUGAAGAGCGCAAAUUCACAUGUCCUCAGUGUGAAAAGAGUUUCAAGCACAAAUCAGCGCUUGGGGAGCACAUAAGAAUUCACACUGGAGAGCGCCCAUACACAUGUCCUCAGUGUGAAAAGAGUUUCAAGCACAAAUCAGCGCUUGGGGCGCACAUAAAAAUUCACACUGGAGAGCGCCCAUACACAUGUUCUCAGUGUGGAAAGAGUUUAAAACACAAAUUGACACUUGUGGAGCACAUGAGAAUUCACACUGAAGAGCGCCCACACACGUGUUCUCAGUGUGGAAAGAGUUUCAAACAAAAAUCAGCGCUUGGGGUGCACAUGAAAAGUCACUUGGAAGAGCGCCCAUACACAUGUUCUCAUUGUGGAAAGAGUUUCAAGCACAAAACAAUUCUUGAUGUGCACAUGAGAAUUCACAAUGAAGAGCGUCCAUACACAUGUUCUCAGUGUGGAAAGAGUUUCAAAUACAAAUCAACGCUUGAAGAGCAUGUGAGAAUUCACAAUGGAGAGCGCCCAUACACAUGCCAUCCUUGUGGAAAGAGUUUUAUACAGAAAAGUCAUCUUAAAGUGCACAUGAGAAUUCACACUGGAGAGCGCCCAUACACAUGUCCUCAGUGUGGAAAGGGUUUCAAACGCAAAACAACGCUUGGGCAGCACAUGAGAAUUCACACUGGAGAGCGCCCGUAUGCGUGUUCUCAGUGUGGAAAGAGUUUCGCACAGGAAAAUAACCUGAAGAUGCACAUGAGAAUUCACACAGAAGAGCACCCAUACACAUGUUCUCAGUGUGGAAAGAGUUUUACAAACAAAAGUAAUUUUGAGGGACACAUUGGAAUUCACACUGGAGAGCGCCCAUACACAUGUCCUCAGUGUGGAAAAAGUUUCAAAGAGAAAUUAACGCUUAAGGUUCAUAUGAGAAUUCACACUGGAGAGCGGCCAUACAUAUGAAAAGUUUGGUUCCAAAACGCUAUAAACGCCAUUUAAAAAAUAAAGAGUUUCCGCCAAAAUCAGUAUUGUAUCGGGUCGGUAUUGAAAAGUCACUUUUUAAUUUUACGCAAAAUGCGAUAUCCGCCGUGUUAUUCUGUCAUGUUUUCUCCCUUUUUUCCAAACGCCAUAUACGGCAGUCUCACUUCUCUGCAGAAUGCGAUAUAUCCGCUCAACCAAUCAGAGCGCACCAUUCCACGCACUGUAAACAGUAAUGGUGGUGCCCUGAAUACAGUCAGCAUCCUAGUUUCCCUGAUCUACUUUGUACUUUGUGUUCAACAAACAAACAAACAAAAAGAAUAAUUUACACGGUAUUGAUGAACCUGUGCUGGUUUCUGCGGUGGGGAAGAAACGUAAGACAUCGAAAUCUAAUCAUUUAUGUGAGGAGAUUAAGAAGACGAGGCACUAAUGUAUAGCAUUAAAAAGAUGACCCGUUGAAUUCAUUUUAGGAGCGAUGACUGAUUAAAUGUAUUUUUAGUGCUGUGCCUGUAUGUAAGAUUAGUAUUGUAUUGAGUUCAGAGGCUGUCGUAUGUGGAUCAACUCACUUUGUUUUGUAUUUUCAACAGUUUCAAUAUGUCAUAUUGUCAUGGAUUUAUUGCAUUCAGUUUUUAUAAUAAAUCUUUUAAAAUAAAAAUCUGGAUUUGAAAUUUUUAUGUUACUAGAACCUUAAGAUGCUAUGUGAACAUUUGAAACAGAAAAUAGUGGUUUUCAUUUUGCCACUUUCUUUGUAAAGAAAACACAUUUUUACUCAAAUUAAUCAAAAUGGAUUUAUAGCGUUUUGGAACCAAACUCUUCAUAUGUCCUCAGUGCGGAAAGAGUUUCAAACAAAAGACAAGUCUAGACUAGCCCAAGAAAAUACACACUUGAGAGUGUCUACGGACAUGCCUUCAACGUGGAAAGAGUUGUCACCAUAAGAGUUAGAAAAGAGUUUGUUUCUCCGUGCUUUCAAUGCAUUAGGUCACAAAGUAAUUCAGAGCUAUAUGCUCUGUAAUUCAGUCAAAUAUUACACAUAGUCUACAAUGCAAACUGUAAUGUAUUAAAGCACAAAGCUGUUUACAGAUGGGGAUUUAGAUGUGAAGCAGAGUGACAAAAUCUUGUUGUUUUCUUAGAAUCUUUAUAUUGUAUUCACAGUUCUUACCUGCAUGUAAACAUGAAGUCAUUAGUCGUAAAGGGAUAGUUUAACCACAAAUGAAAUUUCUGUCAUCAUUUACUCACCCUCAGCUUCUUCCAAAUCUCUGUACAUUUCUAAGUUCUGCUGAAUGCAAUGGACAAUAUUUGGAAGAAUGUCAGUAACCAAACAAAUCCCGUCCCCCCAUUUCCUGGCAUAGUAGGGAAAAUAAAUACUGUGGGAGACAAUUGGGAAUGAGAUUGAUUACUGACAUUCUUCCAAAUAUCUUUGUUUGUGUUCAGCAUAACUAAGAAAUUUAUACAGGUUUGGAACAACCUGAGUGUGAGUAAAUGAUGACAGAAUUUUCAUAUUUGGGUGAACUGUCCCUUUAAGAAUUUAUUUGGUGACAAUAAUAAUACACUCAAUCCCAGCGUCAAAAGUGACUGAUAAAUUCUGUGUAAUUCAUUUAAAAUAUUCACAAUCAGCUGUCAGUUGUGGUUGUUUAACAUCUUUCGCCAUAUAAUAAAUCUAAUAGUAUAUUUUCUUUGUUGCUGUAUGUAAACAGCAAAUAAAUGUGUGGUGAAGGUGUUUUAAGGUUUCCACACAUGUCGCUGUGAUUCCUCGGUGUUCUUUAUUUCACUGAGCCCUUUAUUAACCGGAUGAAUUUCCUGCUACUAGCAACACAUUUAUUUCACUUCAAGAAGGUAAGUUAGCUUUUUCUUAUGAAUUUAUUUUCUUUAUACGGGUAGUACAUUAAAGUCAAGCACACAACUAGAUUGUUUAACCUUCAUAAGAUGAUGGACUCAGUUUGGCUCACGUGGUUUUUUUUACUGCUCAACCAUAUAAUACAAGACGGAGGAAAACACACGGCACUGGAAACAAAAUAAAUAACACCGUAAGGCACAUCCACAAAAAAAAAUGUUGACUGAAAACUUGUAUUUGUCUUCUUUUUUCGUCACUGUCAUAGUAAGUCAGACCGCGGGAUUUCAGUUGUAAUCAUGAAACAUCAGUGAACUCGUUUUGACUGCGGACCAGUGGGAGUGCGCGUGUAUAACUAUCAUUACGGUAAUAUCGGAUCAACGAAAGAGUGUGCGGCACGUAUAACUGUAUUUACGGUAAUAUCAGCAACAACAGAAUCUGCGCCAGCAGAGCGGGAUUUUGUCCAGAAAUGUUUGAGGUCUGUUCCACUACACCACACAGCGAUUUUCAGUAAAGCUUUUCACAAAAAAAUAGAGAAAUAACUCCUGUAAUCCUGCAAAUAAAGGGGACCACUGAAAGUGAUGAACUGGAUGAAGUUGAGAAGAAACAUCAGUGUCAGAAUCUUGUAAUGCUAGAAAUGUCUUCUAGUAGUGUGCAGAAGAACAAGAUUUUCUCGCCAAAAAGAAAUCAAAGAACAGAAGCAGGCAAGUAUUUUACCUGUCCUCAGUGUGGGAAGUGUUUCAAACACAGAGGUCAUU